Molecule: ribosomal RNA, 469 nt
Filed under: uncultured bacterium
Lineage: Bacteria
Description: partial 16S ribosomal RNA
Rfam family: Bacterial small subunit ribosomal RNA
Source: RNAcentral
GACGAACGCUGGCGGCGUGCUUAACACAUGCAAGUCGAACGGAAAGGCCCUGCUUUUGUGGGGUGCUCGAGUGGCGAACGGGUGAGUAACACGUGAGUAACCUGCCCUUGACUUUGGGAUAACUUCAGGAAACUGGGGCUAAUACCGGAUAGGAGCUCCUGCUGCAUGGGGGGGGUUGGAAAGUUUCGGCGGUUGGGGAUGGACUCGCGGCUUAUCAGCUUGUUGGUGGGGUAGUGGCUUACCAAGGCUUUGACGGGUAGCCGGCCUGAGAGGGUGACCGGCCACAUUGGGACUGAGAUACGGCCCAGACUCCUACGGGAGGCAGCAGUGGGGAAUAUUGCACAAUGGGCGGAAGCCUGAUGCAGCAACGCCGCGUGCGGGAUGACGGCCUUCGGGUUGUAAACCGCUUUCGCCUGUGACGAAGCGUGAGUGACGGUAAUGGGUAAAGAAGCACCGGCUAACUACGUGC